GAUGAACGCUGGCGGCGUGCCUAAUACAUGCAAGUCGAGCGAACAGACGAGGAGCUUGCUCCUUCGACGUUAGCGGCGGACGGGUGAGUAACACGUAGGUAACCUACCUAUAAGACUGGGAUAACUUCGGGAAACCGGAGCUAAUACCGGAUAAUAUUUCGAACCGCAUGGUUCGAUAGUGAAAGAUGGCUUUGCUAUCACUUAUAGAUGGAGCUGCGCCGUAUUAGCUAGUUGGUAAGGUAACGGCUUACCAAGGCAACGAUACGUAGCCGACCUGAGAGGGUGAUCGGCCACACUGGAACUGAGACACGGUCCAGACUCCUACGGGAGGCAGCAGUAGGGAAUCUUCCGCAAUGGGCGAAAGCCUGACGGAGCAACGCCGCGUGAGUGAUGAAGGUCUUCGGAUCGUAAAACUCUGUUAUUAGGGAAGAACAAACGUGUAAGUAACUGUGCACGUCUUGACGGUACCUAAUCAGAAAGCCACGGCUAACUACGUG
This 497-nucleotide ribosomal RNA is filed under the name uncultured bacterium. RNAcentral describes it as "partial 16S ribosomal RNA". It matches the Rfam family "Bacterial small subunit ribosomal RNA", at positions 28 to 507 of the family's 1533-position model. The record is from RNAcentral.